RNAcentral lists this ribosomal RNA (433 nucleotides) under uncultured bacterium. Its description in RNAcentral is "partial 16S ribosomal RNA". It matches the Rfam family "Bacterial small subunit ribosomal RNA", at positions 29 to 507 of the family's 1533-position model. The record is from RNAcentral.
AACGAACGCUGGCGGCAUGCCUAACACAUGCAAGUCGAACGAGACCUUCGGGUCUAGUGGCGAACGGGUGCGUAACGCGUGGGAACCUGCCCUUAGGUUCGGAAUAACUCCCCGAAAGGGGUGCUAAUACCGGAUAAUGUCUUCGGACCAAAGAUUUAUCGCCGUUGGAUGGGCCCGCGUUGGAUUAGCUAGUUGGUAGGGUAAAAGCCUACCAAGGCGACGAUCCAUAGCUGGUCUGAGAGGAUGAUCAGCCACACUGGGACUGAGACACGGCCCAGACUCCUACGGGAGGCAGCAGUGGGGAAUAUUGGACAAUGGGCGAAAGCCUGAUCCAGCGAUGCCGCGUGAGUGAUGAAGGCCUUAGGGUUGUAAAGCUCUUUUACCCGGGAUGAUAAUGACAGUACCGGGAGAAUAAGCUCCGGCUAACUCCGUG